UACGUAGGGGGCAAGCGCUAUCCGGAUUUACUGGGUGUAAAGGGGGCGCAGACGGCAGCGCAAGCCAGGAGUGAAAGCCCGGGGCCCAACCCCGGGACUGCUCUUGGAACUGCGCGGCUGGAGUGCAGGAGGGGCAGGCGGAAUUCCUGGUGUAGCGGUGAAAUGCGUAGAUAUCAGGAGGAACACCGGUGGCGAAGGCGGCCUGCUGGACUGCGACUGACGUUGAGGCCCGAAAGCGUGGGGAGCAAACAGG
RNAcentral lists this ribosomal RNA (253 nucleotides) under uncultured bacterium. RNAcentral describes it as "partial 16S ribosomal RNA". It matches the Rfam family "Bacterial small subunit ribosomal RNA", at positions 524 to 776 of the family's 1533-position model. The record is from RNAcentral.